UCUCGUCUCACCUUUUCUCCGCUUGUCCUCGUGCCCGCGGUCCAUGGUUUCCGCCUCCUCCGACCGCCGCCUUCUAGACCCCUCAACUCUAUCGCCGUUGAUCCACAACAUCACGCGCGGGACCUCCCUUAUCGCCCUCGUCAACGUAAUCAGGCAGAUACGCCGAAGUCAGGCAGAGCACAUUCCGUUCGAUCUUCAGUGUUGAAGUGACUGUGCCACCCCUUCAAUGGAACCACAAGCUGCAGCCAAGGAGACAAGGAAGCAGAGGAAGCUUAAGCUUUGCAACAGCAUCCACUUGGGUGAAGACCUUGCAAUAUGAUUUCGUGAAAUGUACAUCUCAAUGGGAAAAUACACUGUUAGAGGCCAGAAUCCCACAGCACCAAGUAAUGAAAGCACAUCAUUGAAGAAGGGCAUCAGCAUUGCGAGAACAGUGCUUAUCACCACAAAGGUUGUCCUCCACAGCAGUCGGAAAAUGUUAAUGUUGCAGCCAAGGUUUUUGUUAAUUGUGAUGGGAUGCUCAUGAGUCAGUAUUUGUAAGCCAGGACACUUUCUAGCAAACCAUGUCUCUACUGCAGCAAACAAUGGCUGGCAGUACACCUAGAAAAUGAAAUAGCCAAAAUGUCUAUUAUUAGUUAGCACAGAAGAUGUCUGAUGCAGGUAGAGAGAUCUUAAAAAUUAGUUAUUGUUGCUGAUCAGAUAUGAGGUUACCUGGUAAGCACCAACUAGAUGUGCCACUAUGCAGACAUUACCGACAUCUAUUAGCCAGUAUGGCUCAUAAAAUCCGAAUCCGGUUAGUAUGUUUCCUGGAGCUUGGUUCCCAAAUGCAGAAUAACCUAGGCAACCACAAAGCAUAUAGAAUGUAGUGGUUGUCACCACACCGAUUAAACUUGCUUUCUUCAUUUCUUUGUUCUCUGCAGGAGGAGAUCUUAGGGUGUCCUAAAAGUCAUGAAUAUUGGAUGAGUGCAGAGCAAGGAUGUGAUUCAUAAGCAGGUAACCGAAAGACAUGACAAAGGUUUUGGUAUACAUCAGUAGUCAGCCUACCUGGAUUUCAAUUAAGAUCAUGGAAUAUGAGUAGGAAAAUGCUAUAUCUCCAAGUGCCUGAAAAGUGCUCCAUACCUUCUGAGAUGCACUGACAUCCACUCCAACUAUCGUACCUGUAAUGGAUGUUUUUCUGGUGUUCCCUGUCGAGACCAAAGUCUGAUUCAGAUUUUCUCUUCGAACGUUUAUGCUUAAGGUAUUGCAAGGUUGUGUUUUGUUGUUUGAUAUUUGAUCAUACAAAGGAGACACCUGAGAUGAUUCUGGCUGCCGAGAGACCCACAGCAAUGAAGGAAUAAGCAAAGGACAUCACUGCUGCAACAAUGGACAACCACCAUAGCUUAUGAAAGUUGGGCAGUUGGGACAGGAAGAUCUGAAUGAUUCCAUACCCGACCAUGAACACAUUGGUGGAGAUACUGCAAGCUGCUUCUUGGCCUUUCUUGUGGAAACAAUUAGAUUUGCUCACAGCCCUGUGGUCAUCCAAAGAAGAAACUUAUUAGAGAUGCCCAAAUCUGACUUUGUGUAGAGCAUGCAAUGAGCUUACGCAGCACUGAGGCCUGCGGUAAUCGUAUAACCAAUGGAAACUCCGAAGAGGUUGACAUACUGGCAGAGUCCGCACAACCAGAUCUUAUUUCCUCCUGCAUGAAGACUUUGUAUGUUUAAUUUGUUCAUGGAAAGUUUGUACCAUGAUGAAAGAUGGGGUUAGAAAUUCAAGUGCCUAAGUUGGAUUUCACUGCUCUCAUGUAGGUGACGUUUCUCAUCCCAGAUAUUGGAUCUUCAGUCCUGUAGCAAUCUGCUAGAAGACUGGAAGUGUAGACGGUGAUGAGGGCGAAAAGCGCCAGAGCUAGAGGUCCAGCUAUCCAACCAAGUUGCGCCAUCGCCCACGCUAAGGAUAGCACACCAGAACCGAUGACUGCUGUUACGAUAUGUGAGCUUGCUGUCCACACAGUUCCUGCACAUUACAUCAUUGCCUGUUAGAAUAGAAUAGCAGGGAAAGUUUUCGGAGGACCGGAUCAGUAAGAACUGAAAUCAAACAUCAUUCAGGGACUCCUACUUUUCUGCAACCGUGCAUGACAACAGGUGGGGGAGGAAGAAGAAGGUGAGGAAAUCGGACAGGCAAAGGAAUGAUACGUACCAGUCCUCCUUGGGCGGCCGUCGUCAUCGAGCUCCUCGUCCAUCUUCCCUGCCAUGAUUAUUCCAUCUUCCUCCAUUUCUGCCUCGAACGUCCUCAUCUCUCUCGUCGUGUCUCUGUGCAACUGAUGGAUCCAAGAGCUUCGUCGCAGGUUAUGUACGUAUUCAUGUGUUGUGUAUAUACCUGAAGAGAAGGUCACGGGGAACUAGUGCUUUUGUUCGAUGCAGGAAUCCUUGUAUGUAUCUACCUCUACAUACGUAUAUACGUUAGUAUCUACUGUGUUUCGUGCAGGUAGGGUUCCAUCUACCUCUCUCUAUCUAUGCAUAUAAAGAAAAGGAAAAGACUGGAGUGGAUCGAUGGGUGGACCGACAGGCGUCGCUCCUCGACGACCCCGUCGAUCCGUUUGAACAGGUCGAAGUCGCUUUAGCGGUCCUCAGAGCUUCUGUUCUUGGCGAUGGAUUAGCCAUCAAUUUUGGGUGUUUCCAAAUUUAUGUAAUGAUUGUUGG
This is a long non-coding RNA of Musa acuminata AAA Group (dessert banana), 2673 nucleotides long. RefSeq lists it as uncharacterized. The record is from RefSeq and is a predicted model, not a curated record. NCBI's taxonomy places the organism in Eukaryota, Viridiplantae, Streptophyta, Magnoliopsida, Zingiberales, Musaceae. The transcript has 3 exons.